RNAcentral lists this ribosomal RNA (26 nucleotides) under Anopheles evansae. RNAcentral's name for it is "partial 28S ribosomal RNA". The record is from RNAcentral. Lineage: Eukaryota; Metazoa; Arthropoda; Insecta; Diptera; Culicidae.
GCCUCAAAAUAAUGUGUGACUACCCC